RNAcentral lists this non-coding RNA (26 nucleotides) under Mus musculus (house mouse). Lineage: Eukaryota; Metazoa; Chordata; Mammalia; Rodentia; Muridae. The record is from RNAcentral.
UCAAGGUUCCAAUGGAAGAUGCAAUG